RNAcentral lists this ribosomal RNA (579 nucleotides) under uncultured bacterium. Its description in RNAcentral is "bacterial SSU rRNA". It matches the Rfam family "Bacterial small subunit ribosomal RNA", at positions 102 to 677 of the family's 1533-position model. The record is from RNAcentral.
ACGGGUGAGUAAUGUCUGGGGAUCUGCCCGAUAGAGGGGGAUAACCACUGGAAACGGUGGCUAAUACCGCAUAACGUCGCAAGACCAAAGAGGGGGACCUUCGGGCCUCUCACUAUCGGAUGAACCCAGAUGGGAUUAGCUAGUAGGCGGGGUAACGGCCCACCUAGGCGACGAUCCCUAGCUGGUCUGAGAGGAUGACCAGCCACACUGGAACUGAGGCACGGUCCAGACUCCUACGGGAGGCAGCAGUGGGGAAUAUUGCACAAUGGGCGCAAGCCUGAUGCAGCCAUGCCGCGUGUAUGAAGAAGGCCUUCGGGUUGUAAAGUACUUUCAGCGGGGAGGAAGGCGAUGUGGUUAAUAACCGCAUUGAUUGACGUUACCCGCAGAAGAAGCACCGGCUAACUCCGUGCCAGCAGCCGCGGUAAUACGGAGGGUGCAAGCGUUAAUCGGAAUUACUGGGCGUAAAGCGCACGCAGGCGGUCUGUUAAGUCAGAUGUGAAAUCCCCGGGCUUAACCUGGGAACUGCAUUUGAAACUGGCAGGCUUGAGUCUCGUAGAGGGGGGUAGAAUUCCAGGUGUA